GUCGAAGCUGCAUUUCAUCGCGUGUCGCGCAGAGGCUCACCCCUUCCACACACACACACGCGCACGCCCUAUCUAUGCAUCAGCAAGCCCGGAUGACGGGGGAGCGCCUCAGCGCGUGGUAUCGUAGGGCACAGUAUCUCCUGUGUGUAGGGAGAAGCCAGGCAGCCGCCCCCCUUCCCUAUCCACGGCCAAUGCCGCACCGCAUCUGGUGGUGACAGGGUCCAGUGCCUACGACAUAAGGAAGUCAGAGCGAUGCAUCGCUGCUGAUGUGGGCGGUCAGUUCGUGGACGGCGCUGCGUCGAACCUACCUGCGACAGUGAGCACGUUUCUAUAAUCUAGAUGAUAUGCAGAGUGGCAGCGCGACUCGAACGCAUUCCACCUGCCUCUCACAUGGUCUGACAGUGAGGAGCCUGCACCACCCAAAGAGGGGGGCGCGCCACGUGGCGACCAGCAUGAUGGGUGAGCGGCUGUGAGGCAACCAUCGAGGCGGCAGGUGUGGAUAGAGUUCGACGCCGAGCCUGUGCUGAGGUGGCUGAGUCGGCGCAUUGCUUUAAUGCGUGUGUUCACAGCUACCUCGCGCCACGCGAUUGGGGCUCGUGGCAGGGCCGGGGGUUAAAGUGGAGUUUGACUCGCGUUCUGUAUCGGAGCAGGUACAUUGAAAAGGAAAGACACGUUGCUCUGCUUAACUUUUGUACGUAUUCCUCGAGACACAACAGCGCGAUGAAAUCGGGGGCGCGGCCGAGUUUUCCGGUUCUUUGUCCAGUGGAAGUGAUAUGCUUGUUCUGCUUGUCAGCACUGCUUCUCGUAGCCAUUGUUCUCUGCGAAAGGUCCCCAGGAACCUUAUGGUGCCCGCCUCUAUCGUUGGUUUCACUGUCCGUGGCUCCCGAGUAACGCCCCCAACCACCCCUUCACAUUUCCACGUGGUGAGAGUGGAAGCUGAAAAAGCGGGCGGCUCCGCACUCUCGCCAGUGCGCACAGGAACAAGUGUGUAUAUAUAUACGUAUCGAUGCUCUUGAAUGAGAGGCGCGCUAUUCCUGCGGGGAUGGCCCUCAAUGUGU
RNAcentral lists this unclassified non-coding RNA (1058 nucleotides) under Leishmania donovani. Its description in RNAcentral is "gene:unknown". Lineage: Eukaryota; Euglenozoa; Kinetoplastea; Trypanosomatida; Trypanosomatidae. The record is from RNAcentral.